AUACGGAGGAUGCGAGCGUUAUCCGGAUUUAUUGGGUUUAAAGGGUGCGUAGGCGGACGAUUAAGUCAGCUGUGAAAUGCCCGCGCUUAACGCGGGAAGUGCAGUUGAUACUGGUUGUCUGGAGUGCCGUUGCCGUGGGGGGAAUGUGUAGUGUAGCGGUGAAAUGCAUAGAUAUUACACAGAACGCCGAUGGAGAAGACACCGAACGAAGGGGUAACGGACGCUGAGGCACGAAAGCGUGGGGAUCGAACAGGAUUAGAUACCCUGGUAGUCCACGCAGAAAACGAUGAUGACUAACCGUCGGCGAUAGACCGCCGGGGGCCAAGCGAAAGCGAUAAGUCAUCCACCUGGGGAGUACGACCGCAAGGUUGAAACUCAAAUGAAUUGACGGGG
Molecule: ribosomal RNA, 393 nt
Filed under: uncultured bacterium
Lineage: Bacteria
Description: partial 16S ribosomal RNA
Rfam family: Bacterial small subunit ribosomal RNA
Source: RNAcentral